GUAUUCUCACACUCCUAAUUACUUUGGAUUGGGAGCGGUGGACUUGGGUGUUGCUGCUUGACUGUGGCUCACCUGAAAUAUGUUAGUGCACCUCUUGAUUGGACAUAGUACGGCGUGAUAAGUGUCUUCGCUGGCUCCUCGCAAAGAGGGUGGCCGAUCGGGAGCUCUGUUGCUUCAAACUGUCUUCGGACAAUCUUCUGACA
RNAcentral lists this unclassified non-coding RNA (203 nucleotides) under uncultured Sebacina. Its description in RNAcentral is "sequence contains ITS2". The record is from RNAcentral. Lineage: Eukaryota; Fungi; Basidiomycota; Agaricomycetes; Sebacinales; Sebacinaceae.